Molecule: long non-coding RNA, 831 nt
Organism: Homo sapiens (human)
Lineage: Eukaryota; Metazoa; Chordata; Mammalia; Primates; Hominidae
Source: Ensembl
AGAGCACUACAAGCAACUGCUGCCAUGAGCAAGAUCCCAGCCCACAAGGAAAGGUCUGCCCUAUAGAUCAUCCUGUACCAGAGAUCUACAGCAUAAUGGCCUGGAAGCAGUCUUUGUUUUGGAGCCAAGCCCAGCAAAGUCUCAAUUCCUUCCCCUUCAAUCGCCAUCUGGAUGAACAAGGCCAAGUCAUUGACCUUCUCUGGGCCUCAGUUUCCUCACCCAUAAACUGGAGCAAAGUCAUCUCCAAGACAGCAGGAACCAUGUUUACUCUUUAAUCAUUGUAUGCUCCCUAAAUAUUUGCUGAACAAGUGAACAAAAAACCUGGUGGUGGUGAAAUUAGACUCCUUCUUGGUGUCACCAGGAGGUCCAGUUAAACAUACCAAGACUUGAGGAAUUAUGUCCAAGGUUCCAGCAUUGAACAUGAAGAACGCAGGAUUUAUUGGCACGUCGUGAUAACCGUAAAGCCCACGCUUCUACUGCAGUGUUGAGUUUGCGUGCCCUUGGGACAGAAGACAGAAUAGAGGCUGAGAAAAUUGCUUGUUGGAAGAAUGAAUCCUGGGUCUGCUAUUACAAGAAACUUCUCAACUUCUAGCCUUAUCUCUCACCACUCCUUCCUUAGAUCCUAAGAUUCAACCAUCCCUGACAUCAACACACCAUGUCCUGUGCUUUGUGCCACCUGUUUACCUUUGUACAUGGCAUUCCCACGUGGUAGAAUCUCGCUCCCAUACAAUCUGUUAUACUUGGAACCCCCUUCCUUUAUUCUCAAAACGUAAUUCCCUUUGAGAAAGUUUCUCUGACGUUUUCCUGACAAUGAACCAAUCCUUCCUCCAU